Molecule: microRNA, 17 nt
Filed under: Corchorus capsularis
Lineage: Eukaryota; Viridiplantae; Streptophyta; Magnoliopsida; Malvales; Malvaceae
Description: sRNA CCACVL1_26079
Source: RNAcentral
UUUUUUUUUCAUAUCCC